Non-coding RNA from Tetranychus urticae (two-spotted spider mite), 91 nucleotides. NCBI's taxonomy places the organism in Eukaryota, Metazoa, Arthropoda, Arachnida, Trombidiformes, Tetranychidae. The record is from Rfam.
AUGUACCGCUUUUGAGAUAUGUUUGAUAUUCUUGGUUGUCAAUUUUUGCAAAAUCAACCAAGAAUCAGACAUAUGCUCAGGAUCGCUACCA